CAAUCGCUCAAGUUGCCAUAGAAUUGUUCCUAAACUGCAGUCUUUUCUUUAUUUUGUCCCCACUCCUCUCUCCCUCAAAAUCAUAGCAGAGCCUGAAAGUACUAUUAAUCCCUUCUUAUUUACAUUUACUGUUUCUUUCCCAUGAAUAUAUGAAUGUUACUUCCUGCUUGUCAGAACAUAGAAAUGAGAAUUAGGAGAAAUCAGGGAAAGGAUGUUUCUUUAAUAGUUCUGAUCUGUUUUCCAUGUGGCAACAUUAUUGAGAAAACUGACUUGAUUUGGUCCUAUGCUAUAUGACUUCAAAUGCAGCUUUACCAGUUAUGGUCGAGACUAUAUCAAGAAAAAUUCUGGAGCAUAUAGCUGAGCAGUGCCUUAUAUGUUGUGAUGUGGGUAUACCCUGCAAUGCUCGGCAAGCCUGUGAUGACCCCUCUUCUCUCAUUUUCCCUUUCCAGGUUGGCAGGGUUUAUCUUGUUUCAUUUAUUGAUAUUUGUUUCUUAUUAACAUACUGUUUGGGAAGUUGAAGUUAAUUAAUCAGACUUUUCAACCAUUCUGCACUGCAUGUUCCAAAAGAAUUUAGCUCAAAUUCUAAAAGUUUGACUUUUUUUAAUAAAGGUGAAUAAUUUUAUCUGAAAAGGUUCAAAAAUACCCCUAAACUAUCUGAAAUAGCUCACAUUUACCUUUAAACUAUAUUUUGGCUCAAAACUACCCUUCUCGUCAAAGUAUUGGGUCACACUUACCCUUCUAGUUAACAUUAGUAUGUUAAGUGCCACGUGGACGCUACGUGGACGCCACAUAAGCGCCAAACAUUUCCCACUUUCAUGUAGACUAAUAAGAUCCCUAAUUUCUAAUUCACCCAUUUCCCCUCAUUUCUCUUAAGAUAUAUUUCACCCAUUUCCCCUAAUUUUCCCCUCAUUUCUCCAUUUCCCUUACCAUAUUCACUAUGGUUCUGUAUCUAAUGCUAUUAAUAUUGGGUACUGCAACAUGCAGCAGCCUCCCUAAUCCUAUGAUGAGUGAAUGCAAAAAGGCAGAAAAUGUGAUCGAUGAAAAUCAUUUUUUUGUGUUCGAUAGUCAUAAAUUAAUUUUUCCUAUCUAGACAUUCAACUUUAUAUUAGUACAUAUUUUAAAACAUCACUUAGAUAAUUGUUAAUUACUCCUAAGGGAAAUGGAGAAAUGAGGGGUGAAAUGUAUCUUAAGAGAAAUGAGGGGUGAAAUGUAUCUUAAGAGAAGUGAGGGGAAAUGGGUGAGUUAGAAAUUAGGGAUCUUAUUAGUCUACGUGGAAGUGGGAAAUUUUUGGCGCUUAUGUGGCGUCCACGUGGCACUUAACAUACUUCUGUUAAUUAGAAGGGUAAGUAUGACCCAAUACUUUGACAGGAAGGAUAGUUUUGAGCUAUAGCAGAGCCUGAAAGUACUAUUAAUCCCUUCUUAUUUACAUUUACUGUUUCUUUCCCAUGAAUAUAUGAAUGUUACUUCCUGCUUGUCAGAACAUAGAAAAGAGAAUUAGGAGAAAUCAG
Molecule: long non-coding RNA, 1508 nt
Filed under: Solanum tuberosum (potato)
Lineage: Eukaryota; Viridiplantae; Streptophyta; Magnoliopsida; Solanales; Solanaceae
Description: long non-coding RNA (STUB_LNC004098)
Source: RNAcentral